This 371-nucleotide ribosomal RNA is filed under the name uncultured bacterium. RNAcentral's name for it is "bacterial SSU rRNA". It matches the Rfam family "Bacterial small subunit ribosomal RNA", at positions 525 to 896 of the family's 1533-position model. The record is from RNAcentral.
ACGUAGGGUGCGAGCGUUAAUCGGAAUUACUGGGCGUAAAGCGUGCGCAGGCGGCUAUACAAGACAGGUGUGAAAUCCCCGGGCUUAACCUGGGAACUGCAUUUGUGACUGCAUGGCUAGAGUUUGUCAGAGGGGGGUGGAAUUCCACGUGUAGCAGUGAAAUGCGUAGAGAUGUGGAGGAACACCGAUGGCGAAGGCAGCCCCCUGGGAUGUGACUGACGCUCAUGUACGAAAGCGUGGGGAGCAAACAGGAUUAGAUACCCUGGUAGUCCACGCCCUAAACGAUGUCGACUAGUUGUCGGGCCUUUACAGGUUCGGUAACGCAGCUAAAGCGUGAAGUCGACCGCCUGGGGAGUACGGUCGCAAGAUUA